AGUGAACGCUGGCGGUAGGCCUAACACAUGCAAGUCGAACGGCAGCACAGUAAGAGCGUGCUCUUCCGGGUGGCGAGUGGCGGACGGGUGAGGAAUACAACGGAAUCUACUUUUUCGUGGGGGUUCACGUAGGGAAGCUUACUCUAAUACCGCAUACGCCCUACGGGUGAAAGCAGGGGAUCUUCGCACCUUGCGCGGUUGAAUGCGCCGAUGUCGGAUUAGCUAGUCGGCGGGGUAAAGGCCCACCAAGGGGACGAUCCGUAGCUGGUCUGGGAGGCUGGUAGGCCGCACUGGAACUGAGACAGGGUCCAUAGUACUGCGGGAGGCAGCAGUGGGGAAUAUUAGGCAAUGGGCGCAAGCAUGGUCCAGCCAUCCCGCGUGUGUGAAGAAGGCGCUCGGGGUGUAAAGCCCUUUUGUUGGGAAAGAACAGCAGCAGGUUAAGACCCCGCUGGAGUGACGGUACCGAAAGAAUAAGCACCGGCUAACUUCGUG
RNAcentral lists this ribosomal RNA (492 nucleotides) under uncultured bacterium. Its description in RNAcentral is "partial 16S ribosomal RNA". It matches the Rfam family "Bacterial small subunit ribosomal RNA", at positions 29 to 507 of the family's 1533-position model. The record is from RNAcentral.